UUAUGGCUCAGGACGAACGCUGGCGGCGUGCCUAAUACAUGCAAGUCGAACGGUCUUUCUAUGGAAGCUUGCUUCCACUGAGAAGAUAGUGGCGAACGGGUGAGUAACACGUGGGUAACCUGCCCAUAAGAGGGGGAUAACAUCCGGAAACGGGUGCUAAUACCGCAUAGUUUUCUUGAUCGCAUGAUUGAGAAAGGAAAGACGGCCUUUGUGCUGUCGCUUAUGGAUGGACCCGCGGCGUAUUAGUUAGUUGGUGAGGUAACGGCUCACCAAGACGAUGAUACGUAGCCGACCUGAGAGGGUGAUCGGCCACAUUGGGACUGAGACACGGCCCAAACUCCUACGGGAGGCAGCAGUAGGGAAUCUUCCGCAAUGGACGAAAGUCUGACGGAGCAACGCCGCGUGAGUGAAAGAAGGUUUUCGGAUCGUAAAACUCUGUUGUCAGAGAAGAACAAGUUGGAGAGUAACUGCUCCAGCCUUGACGGUAUCUGACCAGAAAGCCACGGCUAACUACGUGCCAGCCGCCGC
This 528-nucleotide ribosomal RNA is filed under the name uncultured bacterium. RNAcentral's name for it is "bacterial SSU rRNA". It matches the Rfam family "Bacterial small subunit ribosomal RNA", at positions 17 to 518 of the family's 1533-position model. The record is from RNAcentral.